RNAcentral lists this transfer RNA (22 nucleotides) under Netta rufina (red-crested pochard). RNAcentral describes it as "partial tRNA-Phe". The record is from RNAcentral. Lineage: Eukaryota; Metazoa; Chordata; Aves; Anseriformes; Anatidae.
GUCCACAUAGCUUACACCUAAA